UGAGGCUUAGCUCAGCUGGGAGAGCAUCUGCCUUACAAGCAGAGGGUCGGGGGUUCGAUCCCCUCAGCCUCCACCA
This 76-nucleotide transfer RNA is filed under the name Paenibacillus odorifer. RNAcentral describes it as "tRNA-Val". It matches the Rfam family "tRNA". Rfam says of the family: Transfer RNA (tRNA) molecules are approximately 80 nucleotides in length. Their secondary structure includes four short double-helical elements and three loops (D, anti-codon, and T loops). Lineage: Bacteria; Bacillati; Bacillota; Bacilli; Caryophanales; Paenibacillaceae. The record is from RNAcentral.